This 253-nucleotide ribosomal RNA is filed under the name uncultured bacterium. RNAcentral's name for it is "partial 16S ribosomal RNA". It matches the Rfam family "Bacterial small subunit ribosomal RNA", at positions 524 to 776 of the family's 1533-position model. The record is from RNAcentral.
UACGUAGGGGGCUAGCGUUGUCCGGAAUCAUUGGGCGUAAAGAGCGUGUAGGCGGUCCGGUAAGUCCGCUGUGAAAGUCCAGGGCUCAACCCUGGAAUGCCGGUGGAUACUGUCGGGCUCGAGUCCGGAAGAGGCGAGUGGAAUUCCUGGUGUAGCGGUGAAAUGCGCAGAUAUCAGGAGGAACACCACUGGCGAAGGCAGCUCGCUGGGACGGUACUGACGCUGAGACGCGAAAGCGUGGGGAGCAAACAGG